This is a long non-coding RNA of Panicum hallii, 445 nucleotides long. RefSeq lists it as uncharacterized. The transcript is spliced from 2 exons. The record is from RefSeq and is a predicted model, not a curated record. Lineage: Eukaryota; Viridiplantae; Streptophyta; Magnoliopsida; Poales; Poaceae.
UUGAAUGAUGGCGUGGUCAUUUGGUUCUGGCUUUGAAUCCCUCUGAAAUUUGUCUCUGUUCACUUCAAGUUAGUUGAAUGAUGUCCUGCAUGAGUUCAGGUGGUUGGGCCAUCAGCAAGCUGUAGAUCUGACAACAGCUGCAAAUAAAGAACCCCUUGCAGCAAAGGAAGUUGUGCUUCAUUAAUUGAAAAGUGCCAGCUCCAUAUUCUUCAGAAGAUGCUGAGGUUUGAUGAAAGCAGCAAUAAGGGGUUCAGAUCUUGUUGUUUUCUUGAGAAAUGAACUUGUGUAUGCAAAAUGUUUCCCUGCAUAGCUAUUUUCUUCCAAGUGGAUGCUAGAAAAUUUGCUUUCGGAGAUUCUGUACAUCUAUUUGUAUUAUCAAGUUUAAAUGUGUAAAUGAUUCUUGUUAUAAUUGCUAAUAUAUUGUAAUAAGAGCUACUACAUGGAA